GAUGAACGCUAGCGGCAGGCUUAACACAUGCAAGUCGAGGGGUAGAGGAAGCUUGCUUCCUUGAGACCGGCGCACGGGUGCGUAACGCGUAUGCAAUCUACCUUAUACAGGGGGAUAGCCCAGAGAAAUUUGGAUUAAUACCCCAUAGUAUAAUUGAAUGGCAUCAUUUAAUUAUUAAAAGUUCCAACGGUAUAAGAUGAGCAUGCGUCCCAUUAGCUAGUUGGUGUGGUAACGGCACACCAAGGCGACGAUGGGUAAGGGUCCUGAGAGGGAGAUCCCCCACACUGGUACUGAGACACGGACCAGACUCCUACGGGAGGCAGCAGUGAGGAAUAUUGGUCAAUGGGCGCAAGCCUGAACCAGCCAUGCCGCGUGCAGGAUGACGGUCCUAUGGAUUGUAAACUGCUUUUGUACAGGAAGAAACACUCCCUCGUGAGGGAGCUUGACGGUACUGUAAGAAUAAGGAUCGGCUAACUCCGUGCCAGCAGCCGCGGUAAU
Molecule: ribosomal RNA, 498 nt
Filed under: uncultured bacterium
Lineage: Bacteria
Description: bacterial SSU rRNA
Rfam family: Bacterial small subunit ribosomal RNA
Source: RNAcentral